GUUCAAUUUUGAUAUCAAGAACAUAAAGUAUGUAUUUUCCCGUCAUUUCUUCGAGAAAACUGAAUAUAUAGAAAAUACUGAGGAUGCAAUCUUUUCAUCUUUGACUAUAUAUAGUCAAAACCUUAUUUAAUAUGUUUAUUAACGAUGUUCCUACAUUGUUUAGCAGUGUUGUUACACGAUUCAUGAGUUUGGCGAAACAGACUUGAGCUGUUUCCGACCUCGAAUGGUCUGGCCAAUACAACUAC
Paramuricea clavata is the source of this 245-nucleotide non-coding RNA. Lineage: Eukaryota; Metazoa; Cnidaria; Anthozoa; Malacalcyonacea; Plexauridae. The record is from the annotation of a GenBank genome assembly.